AAGCUUGAAGCGACCCGCAGUUAGUUUCGACCUAAUCUAUGAUGAAUAACCUCAUCCUAGCUUA
This 64-nucleotide transfer RNA is filed under the name Bullanga florida. RNAcentral's name for it is "tRNA-Arg". The record is from RNAcentral. Lineage: Eukaryota; Metazoa; Arthropoda; Insecta; Neuroptera; Myrmeleontidae.